Molecule: ribosomal RNA, 1106 nt
Filed under: Bacillus sp. (in: firmicutes)
Lineage: Bacteria; Bacillati; Bacillota; Bacilli; Caryophanales; Bacillaceae
Description: bacterial SSU rRNA
Rfam family: Bacterial small subunit ribosomal RNA
Source: RNAcentral
GCAGUCGAGCGGACAGAUGGGAGCUUGCUCCCUGAUGUUAGCGGCGGACGGGUGAGUAACACGUGGGUAACCUGCCUGUAAGACUGGGAUAACUCCGGGAAACCGGGGCUAAUACCGGAUGCUUGAUUGAACCGCAUGGUUCAAUUAUAAAAGGUGGCUUUUAGCUACCACUUACAGAUGGACCCGCGGCGCAUUAGCUAGUUGGUGAGGUAACGGCUCACCAAGGCAACGAUGCGUAGCCAACCUGAGAGGGUGAUCGGCCACACUGGGACUGAGACACGGCCCAAACUCCUACGGGAGGCAGCAGUAGGGAAUCUUCCGCAAUGGACGAAAGUCUGACGGAGCAACGCCCCGUGAGUGAUGAAGGUUUUCGGAUCGUAAAACUCUGUUGUUAGGGAAGAACAAGUACCGUUCGAAUAGGGCGGUACCUUGACGGUACCUAACCAGAAAGCCACGGCUAACUACGUGCCAGCAGCCGCGGUAAUACGUAGGUGGCAAGCGUUGUCCGGAAUUAUUGGGCGUAAAGCGCGCGCAGGCGGUUUCUUAAGUCUGAUGUGAAAGCCCCCGGCUCAACCGGGGAGGGUCAUGGGAAACUGGGGAACUUGAGUGCAGAAGAGGAGAGUGGAUUUCCACGUGUAGCGGUGAACUGCGUAGAGAUGUGGAGGAACACCAGUGGCGAGGGCGACUCUCUGGUCUGUAACUGACGUUGAGGCGCGAAAGCGUGGGGAGCGAACAGGAUUAGAUACCUUGGUAGUCCACGCCGUAAACGAUGAGUGUUAAGUGUUAGAGGGUUUCCGCCCUUUAGUGCUGCAGCAAACGCAUUAAGCACUCCGCCUGGGGAGUACGGUCGCAAGACUGAAACUCAAAGGAAUUGACGGGGGCCCGCCCAAGCGGUGGAGCAUGUGGUUUAAUUGGAAGCAACGCGAAGAACCUUACCAGGUCUUGACAUCUUCUGACAACCCUAGAGAUAGGGCUUCCCCUUCGGGGGCAGAGUGACAGGUGGUGCAUGGUGGUCGUCAGCUCGUGUCGUGAGAUGUUGGGUUAAGUCCCGCAACGAGCGCAACCCUUGAUUUUAGUUGCCAGCAUUCAGUUGGCCACUUUAAGGU